This 444-nucleotide ribosomal RNA is filed under the name uncultured bacterium. RNAcentral describes it as "bacterial SSU rRNA". It matches the Rfam family "Bacterial small subunit ribosomal RNA", at positions 28 to 492 of the family's 1533-position model. The record is from RNAcentral.
GACGAACGCUGGCGGCGUGCUUAACACAUGCAAGUCGAACGGUAAGGCCCUUCGGGUACACGAGUGGCGAACGGGUGAGUAACACGUGGGUGAUCUGCCCUGCACUUCGGGAUAAGCCUGGGAAACUGGGUCUAAUACCGGAUAGGACUCCUGGCUUCAUGGUUGGGGGUGUAAAGCUUUUGCGGUGUGGGAUGGGCCCGCGGCCUAUCAGCUUGUUGGUGGGGUAAUGGCCUACCAAGGCGACGACGGGUAGCCGGCCUGAGAGGGUGACCGGCCACACUGGGACUGAGAUACGGCCCAGACUCCUACGGGAGGCAGCAGUGGGGAAUAUUGCACAAUGGGCGCAAGCCUGAUGCAGCGACGCCGCGUGAGGAUGACGGCCUUCGGGUUGUAAACCUCUUUCAAUAGGACGAAGCGCAAGUGACGGUACCUAUAGAAGAAGGA